UCGAAUAAUCUCACAAAAAAGGAAACAAAUAUUUCGGCGACUUUUGUUAGCAGGUAUACUCGAAUGACCAUUAGGAAAAAAGCGAAACAUCAAUAUCAAGGUAAUCAAUUUUACAUUUAUUGUACCUAAUAUAUCUGCACUGUGUGGUGUGAUCUAAUUUUGUUGAAAAUAUUGACAAAAAAAAGUAGGCACGUAAAACAUCUCUAAUUAUUAUCAAUUUCUAAUAAAACAACGUUUUUCUAUUGCAACGAAAGUCCUUUCAAAGUCCGAACCAAUGACAAGGUUUAUAAAAAAAUAAAUCAGCGCUUUUAUGAAAAGAUGUUUUCAAUGAACAUAAUAAAAGAGGAACGAAAGAUACAAGAGGGACAGUCAAACUCAUAAAUCGAAAAUAAACUGACAACACCAUGGCUAAAAAUAAAAAGUUCAAACAGACAAACAAUAGUACACAUGAUACAACAUAGAAAACUAAAGAAUAAACAACACGAACCGCAUUUAUAAUUAUACCUUCACAUUUCACACAAUUAGUUGUUAACCCAUUCGAACAAAAAGAACUGCAUUCUUAGCUGUUUAUUAUUUUGAACAAAAGCCUAAUGAAAAAAUUAUAAAGUAUGCACUGUUUUCUAUUAUACAUUGAUAACUUACUUCAUCAAUUUACAAUUAUUGACUUAGUUUUAUUAUUAAUUUCAGAAAAAAAUGAUCAUCUUGUCGAAUAAUCUCACAAAAGUAGAAGCAAAAAUUUCGGCGACUUUUUUAACAGGUAUAUUCAAAUGACCGUUAGAAAAAAGCGGAACAUCAAUAUUAUGGUAAUCAACUUUACGUUUAUUCUACCUAACAUAACGGCACUGUGUGUUGUGAUUUAAUUUUGUUGAAAAAAUUGACAAAAAAAAAAUUAGCACGUAAAACAUCUGAUAAAUAAGCAAUAUCGAAUAAAACAACGUUUCUCUAUUGCAAGAAAAGUGUUUCACAAGUUGAAACUAGGGACAAAGUGUGAAGAAAUACAAAACAGCGCUUUUAUGAAAAGACGUUUUCAAAGAAUAUCACAAUUAUACAAUCACAUUUCACACAAUAAGUUGUUAACCCAUUUGAACAACUAUAACUGCAUUCUUAGUUGUUGAUAAUUUUUGUAAAAAAAAAAUGGCCGAAAAAGGUAUAAAGUGCGCACUGUUUUUUUUUUACCUUAUACAUUAAUUACCUACUUCAUCUAUAAAUAAUUAUUGUAUACUUUUUAUUUUCAUUAUCAGAAGAAUUUUCAAACUCGUGGAAUAAUAUCUGAAAAGAGGAAGCAAAAAUUUCGACGACUUCUUUUUAGCAGGAAUAUUCGAAUGACCGUUAGAAAAAAAGAGAAACAUCAAUAUCAAGAUAAUCAAUUGUACAAUAACUCUAACUAAUAUAACGGCACUGUGUGGUGUGGUAUAAUUUGGUGAAAAUAUUGACUGACAAAAGUGGGCACGUAACACAUCUCAUCAAUAAGCAAUUUCCAAUAAAUCAACAUUUUUAUUUUGCAAGGAAAGUCCUUACUAAGUCAACCAAAGUGACAAAGUUUGCAGAAAAAUAAAUCAGGGCUUUUCUGAAAAGCUGUUUUCAUUGAAGAUACAUGUAGCAAUUAUACAGUAUUCUGCCAUAAGUAUUCGUAAAAACAACAAUUGCGGUCACGUCAUGGAAGGUUAAACAAGUUUUGGCCGUCGUCUCCAUGUCACAAUCUGGAUGACCGUGAAUCUAAAUUUAAAUAUAAAUUGAUCUGUAGAAAAACAUGUGGUUGUCAUGUGACACGUGCAUGAUGGCAUCAACCUUGUCUUGUAAAUAAAAUGGGUCGAAGGGGAAAAGAACUGACAUCUUAUCAGAAAAGGGAUUUCGCUGCAUUAAAUGAUGCAGGUUACCGAAAAAGUGAAAUAGUCAGACUGACCGGCAUUACACAAAGACCCGUUGACAUUUUUUGAAGAGGUAUGAACAUCGCGGUGAUAUAGAAAACAUACGGAGAUGCAGCAGACCUAAAUCCUUUCAUGACCGGUAUAUGAGAAAAUUUUCCCGUCCCGUAAAAAAAUAUCGCCAUGAAGGUUUAGCUGAAAUUACAAAUAAUUUUAAUGAGAACAUUGAUAGACCUUUCUCUAAAAGAACUGUUGAAUGUAAAAUACAUUUUGAUUGAUUCUGCACGCGGUCAGUUUAAAAAAAAAUAUCGUAUAUGUGAGAUCAAUUAGAAAAAACGAGUGGCAUACUGUAUAGGAAAUCUACAUAAAAGAGGAAAUGUUCACUGGAGUACAUGGAUAUUCAACGAUAAGUGAAAGGUAGUCAUACGGCAAAAUUCUUCACCCAAUGUCUAGAGAAGGUCGGGGAAGAGUGGUUGAUGGAUUGUAUUUUCCUUCCGUCUCAGCGCAACUAUUGUUUGAUGAUCUGGGGGUGUAUUAAUUACAAUGACGUGGGAAUUAUAACUGUCAUUGACGGGAACAUAAAUGCCUUAAAAUACUUUGACAUAAUUGACAACAAAGUGUGGUCAAUGAUUGUUAAAUUCAGAAGAGUUUUUAAACUCGACGUCGAUUAUCUCACAAAAAAGGAAACAAAUAUUUCGGCGACUUUUGUUUGCAGGUAUAUUCGAAUGACCAUUAGGAAAAAAGCGAAACAUCAAUAUCAAGGUAAUCAAUUUUACAUUUAUUGUAACUUAUAUAUCGGCACUGUGUGGUGUGGUCUAAUUUUGUUGAAAAUAUUGACAAAAAAAAUUAGGCACGUAAAACUAUGGAACGCCACAGCUGGCUUAUGUGGAACUCUGAUAUUACUUUAUGUUGUUUUACUAUUACUUAAUGAUAUUUUGUCUUUACUUAAUAUGGUUUUGACAUUACUUAAUGAAGUUUUGAUAUUACACGUUAUGAUUUCGUAUUGACUUGAUAUCAUUUUGUAAUUACUCAAUAUGGUUUUGUCAUUUCUCAAUAUGGUUUUGUCACUACUCGAUGUGGUUGUGUCAUUAGUCAAUAUGGUUUGAACAUUACUUGAUGUGAAUAUGACUUAACGUUAUGUAGUUGUUUCAUUACAUGAUGUGGUUUUGUUAUUUCGUAAUGAUGAUUUGCCUAUUCUUUAUAUGGUUUUAACAUUACGUGAUGAUGUUAUAAAAUUUGACGAUUCUACACUACUUGAUGUGUUUAAUUCAUUAUUUGAAAAGAUGUUUUCAAUGAACAUAAUAAAAGAGGAACGAAAGAUACAAGAGGGACAGUCAAACUCAUAAAUCGAAAAUAAACUGACAACACCAUGGCUAAAAAUAAAAAGUUCAAACAGACAAACAAUAGUACACAUGAUACAACAUAGAAAACUAAAGAAUAAACAACACGAACCGCAUUUAUAAUUAUACCUUCACAUUUCACACAAUUAGUUGUUAGCCCAUUCGAACAAAAAGAACUGCAUUGUUAGCUGUUCAUUAUUUUGAACAAAAGCCUAAUGAAAAAAUUAUAAAGUAUGCACCGUUUUCUAUUAUACAUUGAUAACUUAUUUCAUCAAUUUACAAUUAUUGACUUAGUUUUAUUGUUAAUUUCAGAAAAAAAGUUUCAAACUUGUCGAAUAAUCUCACAAAAGUAGAAGCAAAAAUUUCGGCGACUUUUUUAACAGGUAUAUUCAAAUGACCGUUAGAAAAAAGCGGGACAUCAAUAUCAUGAUAAUCAACUUUACAUUUAUUCUACCUAACAUAACGGCACUGUGUGUUGUGAUUUAAUUUUGUUGAAAAAUUGACGAAAAAAAAAAUACGUACGUAAAACAUCUGAUCAAUAAGCAAUAUCGAAUUAAGCAACGUUUUUCUAUUGCAAGAAAAGUGUUUCAAAAGUUGAAACUAGGGACAAAGUGUGAAGAAAUACAAAUCAGCGCUGUUAUGAAAAGACGUUUUCAAAGAAUAUCACAAUUAUACAAUCACAUUUCACAAAAUAAGUUGCUAAACUCAUUCGAACAACUAUAACUGCAUUCUUAGUUGUUGAUAAUUUUUUGUAAAAAAAAAUAACCGAAAAAGUUAUAAAGUGCGCACUGUUUUUUUUUACCUUAUACAUUGAUUACUUACUUCAUCUAUAAACAAUUAUUGUAUACUUUUUAUUUUUAAUUUCAGAAUAAUUUUCAAACUCGUCGAAUAAUAUCUGAAAAGAGGAAGCUAACAUUUCGACGACUUCUUUUUAGCAGGAAUAUUCGAAUGACCGUUAGUAAAAAAGCAAAACAUCAAUAUCAAGAUAAUCAAUUGUACAAUAACUCUAACUAAUAUAACGGCACUGUGUGGGUGGUAUAAUUUUGUUGGAAACUAUUGACUGAAAAAAGUGGGCCCGUAACACAUCUCAUCAAUAAGCAAUUUCCAAUAAAACAACAUUUUUAUUUUGCAAAGAAAGUCCUUACUAAGUCAACCUAAGUGACAAAGUUUGCAGAAAAAUAAAUCAGGGCUUUUAUGUAAAGCUGUUUUAAUUGAACAUAAAUGUACCAUUUAUACAGUAUUCAGCCUUAAGUAUUUGUAAAAACAACAAUUUGCGUCGUCUCCAUGUCACAAUCGGUAUAACAGUGAAUCUAAAUUUAAAUGUAGAAAAACAUGUGGUUGUCAUGUGACACGUGCGUGAUGGCAUCAACCUUGUCUUGUAAACAAAAUGGGUCGAAGGGGAAAAGAACUGAUAUCUUAUCAGAAAAGUGAUUUCGCUGCAUUAAAUGAUGCAGGUUACCGAAAAAGUGAAAUAGUCAGACUGACCGGCAUUAAACAAAGACCCGUUGAUAUAUUUUUAAAGAGGUAUGAACAUCGCGGUGAUAUAGAAAACAUACGGAGAUGCAGCAGACCUAAAUCCUUUCAUGACCGGUAUAUGANAAAAU
This 4809-nucleotide long non-coding RNA is filed under the name Mytilus galloprovincialis (Mediterranean mussel). The record is from RNAcentral. Lineage: Eukaryota; Metazoa; Mollusca; Bivalvia; Mytilida; Mytilidae.